RNAcentral lists this ribosomal RNA (510 nucleotides) under uncultured bacterium. RNAcentral describes it as "partial 16S ribosomal RNA". It matches the Rfam family "Bacterial small subunit ribosomal RNA", at positions 28 to 507 of the family's 1533-position model. The record is from RNAcentral.
GACGAACGCUGGCGGCGUGCUUAACACAUGCAAGUCGAACGAAGAGCGACGGAAGCUUGCUUCUAUCACUCUUAGUGGCGAACGGGUGAGUAACGCGUAAUCAACCUGCCCUUCAGAGGGGGACAACAGUUGGAAACGACUGCUAAUACCGCAUACGAUCUAACCUCGGCAUCGAGGAUAGAUGAAAGGUGGCCUCUACAUGUAAGCUAUCACUGCAGGAGGGGAUUGCGUCUGAUUAGCUAGUUGGAGGGGUAACGGCCCACCAAGGCGAUGAUCAGUAGCCGGUCUGAGAGGAUGAACGGCCACAUUGGGACUGAGACACGGCCCAGACUCCUACGGGAGGCAGCAGUGGGGAAUCUUCCGCAAUGGACGAAAGUCUGACGGAGCAACGCCGCGUGAGUGAUGACGGCCUUCGGGUUGUAAAGCUCUGUUAAUCGGGACGAAAGGCCUUCUUGCGAAUAGUGAGAAGGAUUGACGGUACCGGAAUAGAAAGCCACGGCUAACUACGUG